AUACGGAGGAUCCGAGCGUUAUCCGGAUUUAUUGGGUUUAAAGGGUGCGCAGGCGGCCAUUUAAGUCAGCGGUUAAAUCGUGGGGCUCAACCCCAUUCUGCCGUUGAUACUGGGUGGCUUGAUUGCGGUCGAGGUUGGCGGAAUUCGUUGUGUAGCGGUGAAAUGCAUAGAUAUGACGAAGAACACCGAUUGCGUAGGCAGCUGACCAGACCGCAAAUGUCGCGCAUGCACGAAAGUGCGGGGAGCGAACAGGAUUAGAUACCCUGGUAGUCCGCACAGUAAACGAUGAAUACUUGUUUUCGGCGAUAUAAUGUCGGAGGCAAAGCGAAAGCGAUAAGUAUUCCGCCUGGGGAGUCAGCCGGCAACGGUGAAACUCAAAUGAAUUGACGGGG
This 392-nucleotide ribosomal RNA is filed under the name uncultured bacterium. RNAcentral describes it as "partial 16S ribosomal RNA". It matches the Rfam family "Bacterial small subunit ribosomal RNA", at positions 523 to 918 of the family's 1533-position model. The record is from RNAcentral.